RNAcentral lists this ribosomal RNA (71 nucleotides) under Vibrio parahaemolyticus. RNAcentral's name for it is "partial 23S ribosomal RNA". The record is from RNAcentral. Lineage: Bacteria; Pseudomonadati; Pseudomonadota; Gammaproteobacteria; Vibrionales; Vibrionaceae.
GUUGUAUGGUUAAGUGACUAAGCAAACACGGAGGAUGCCUUGGCAGUCAGAGGCGAUGAAAGACGUAGCAA